This 340-nucleotide ribosomal RNA is filed under the name uncultured Geobacter sp. RNAcentral's name for it is "bacterial SSU rRNA". It matches the Rfam family "Bacterial small subunit ribosomal RNA", at positions 1040 to 1382 of the family's 1533-position model. Lineage: Bacteria; Pseudomonadati; Thermodesulfobacteriota; Desulfuromonadia; Geobacterales; Geobacteraceae. The record is from RNAcentral.
GUUGCAUGGCUGUCGUCAGCUCGUGUCGUGAGGUGUGGGUUAAGUCCCGCAACGAGCGCAACCCCUAUCCUCAGUUGCCAUCAUUAAGUUGGGCACUCUGUGGAGACUGCCGGUGUCAAACCGGAGGAAGGUGGGGAUGACGUCAAGUCCUCAUGGCCCUUAUGACCAGGGCUACACACGUGCUACAAUGGCCGGUACAAAGAGUUGCGAUACCGCGAGGUGGAGCUAAUCUCAUAAAGCCGGUCUCAGUUCGGAUUGGAGUCUGCAACUCGACUCCAUGAAGUUGGAAUCGCUAGUAAUCGCGGAUCAGCACGCCGCGGUGAAUACGUUCCCGGGCCUU